Long non-coding RNA from Drosophila willistoni, 3046 nucleotides. RefSeq lists it as uncharacterized. The transcript is spliced from 3 exons. Lineage: Eukaryota; Metazoa; Arthropoda; Insecta; Diptera; Drosophilidae. The record is from RefSeq and is a predicted model, not a curated record.
GAAUAAUGCCAGCUUUCAAGAGAUCAUCACAGAUCUCCCGCACCACGAUGCGUUCGUGGUGCGACAGAUGGCGGGGACGGCAGAAAAUGGGAGUUUGGCUAGUCAGUUUUAUUUUCAUCUAAUUCACGGGCUUCACUAACUAUGGGGCAACCUGUACAUAUGCAGUGGAAAUAAUAAACUUUAAGUCUGCGGCUUGCUCUUCCCGUAAAGUGGGUUCUAUAUCAAACUCUGACUCAUUAGCAGCAGGGACUUCAAUGGCAUUUAUAGCCCUAAGUGCAUCAUUCAGUGUUUCCGAAAGUACAGCCGAAGUUUCUAGAAGGGGAGAAUCAAACGACGAUUCGGCAGAUACAAUCUCAUUCUCAUCGUGCGGUAGUACCGCUAUAUCUUUCCUCAAUAUAUCAAAUGACUUCAGAACAGCAUUCUUUCAAUUUACAGAGUAUAAUAUUAAUUUUAUACAGGAGAUCUCUGCGACUAAUCAUUGGCAGCAACCGAAGUUGCACCAUUGGGUAAAACUUCAAACGUAUGGAUGGUCUCCGUGCCGCGGAGGUGAAUUCUAGACCGAAGUUGGCUAUUUCCUAAACCACGGCAGUUCAAUCUACUGGGACCAAGACGGCACUUGGGGGGGACUUCAUAUUCGGGCAGUCCGAAGAGUUUUAUCCACUUGAUCACAAACAAAAGCAACACUCACCAGUUGUAGAUGGUUCAAUCUAUCCCCUACAUCAUCAGGAGCGGCGGCGGCAGUUCUCAUCCGAGACGGGCAGUUUUUAUAAACGUGGCCCACUAUGCCACACUUGAUGCAGGCAUUUUGGAGGUCUUAUCGGUUUCGGGCAUCGGCUUUUGUAAUGCCCCCAUCCAGAGCAGUUAAAACAUCGGGUUUCACUUGUUGCAGUGCUUGAAGAUUUAUUUCCAAACGACGAAGCAGGUGUUGUUGGCUGUACUUUCACGCUGAGACUUUGCUUGGAGGCAGCCGCCUGCAUACAGAAACGCUCGUAUCGCUCCAUUAGGGGCUUCAGUUCGGCCACCGUGCGCGCUGAAUACAGCAUGACGACUCGAGUAGAGUUAUCCCGCAAUCCAUCGAUGAUCAUAUCGACCAACUCGUUCUCUGGAAUCGGAGCGUUCAUAGCAAUCUCCUGCAUCUCGAUUGCGAAUCUUAAGCAUCCUUCUCCUGCCUUAAUGCGCCGGCUCCGUGGUACACCUCUUCAACACUGCGCGAGCGUCCAAACUCUCGGAGGAGGAUCGCUUUGAGUUCCUCAUAGCUGUGCACCGAUACCGUGCGCAGCAACACCGCCGCCGUCCCCUCCAGCAUGCGACGGCAUGCAAUCAACCGUAGGCGAUCAUUUAACUUAUCCGCUGAGAACCGGGCCACCAUGCUUUCAAUCACACUUAAGUCACUGACUUGCUGCCUCGGUGCUCGGAAUUCAUCCAUGUUCUGCAACUGUAGCACUUCAUGUUGUUUCCGCAGCGUCGUCAGUUGCUCGUCCCGACUGGGGAAGGCGGGAGCAGCCGGUGUGGUAGCGGCGGCGACAGACGGCACGGAGGGCGCGAGGGCGGGCAUAUCUUUCCAUGGGUCCGCAGCCCAGGGAACGUCCGGGCCAGUGACGGGUGCGGCCAGCGAGAUAGCAGCCCGCAUCGCAGACACGUAGGCGGCGGACACCCCAUCAGUGUGCACAGCAGAGGCAGGUGCGGCAGCGGCGGGCACAAUUAAGGCGGCAGCGGGUGCAAUGGCGGCGGUUACAGCAGUAGAUGCGGCGGCGGGUACAGCAGUAGAUGCGGCGGCGGCGGGUACAGCAGUGGAUGCGGCGGUGGGCGCGGCCGCAGCAGCCACGGCAACUGGGUCAGUAGCAGCGGUGGGCGUGGAGGCGGCCACCCUGGAUGUGGAUCGUGUGGCCUGCCUUGUACCGCAAUAUAUGUCCUUUCGGGUAGUCAUCCCACUUCUGAGUUGUAAUAACCUAUUUAUUAUAGAAAAAGUAUAAGGAUUAGUCUAGAUGACAAAGAUUAAUUUUCUUGGUUCGCAGCGAGUGCAUCUGUUCUGUUGCGUUGCCGGAAAAAGAAGAAGGAGACACUCUCCAGAGUGGCCUUAGGCCGCAUACCAAUAGACGCCUUAAUACUAACAAUCGAUACUUAGAAAUACUUACAUCGAUAUAUGUGUAAACACUUAACAUAAGUUAUAAAUAACUGGCAUCUUACAUAUGGAAGAACUCUUAUUGUUAGACAAAAUGAUGAAAACACUACAGCGACCACCUUUUUGCCAUAAUUAAAGAAGACGAAAUCCAAAACACUCUUGACAACUUAAAUUCUUUUGACGGAAACAUUAAGUUUACAAUAGCGUUGGAAAAUGUAAACAAAUUGACAUAUCUAGACUCAUCAAUAUACAGCCGAGAAAACGAGCUAAAAUUAAAAUCGUCCAAAAAACCAACAGCUUCAGCAUCAUCAUACCAUCCAACAGGACUAAUGAAGAAAAGUGUGAUAAAAUGUAUAUAGGGACAACCAAAUCGAGGCUAAAAACUAGACUAUCACAACAUAGAUCUGACUACAAACUUUGUCAACACUCCAAUGUACAAAAAACGGCACUGUGCCGCCAGUGGACAUUCCCCAUAUUUUGACGAAGUAAACAAAAUAGACCAAGAACAACACUACAACAUUACAUUGUCGUUAAAUUAAUGUUAAAGAUAAUCACAAUUAAAUGUUUUUAUAGUUGCCCUGAAGACGACCACCGAUGAGUGGUCGAAAUAUAUCAGACCAUACAGCAUUUCAUCGUCUAUUUGUACGACAGCCAUGUAAUAUAGUUAUCCACUUUUAGUUAAAUUUGGCACAGUCAUUAAUAGGUAUAAUAAACCAACAAAUGUUAACUUUAAUGAUAAUAGAUUAGGAAAUAAUGACAACCAAUGGAUUCUACGGACGUAUAUGAUAAAUUCACCCGAUAUUGAUCAAUUUUGUUACAGUGUUAGUUUAUAAAUAUAAUAAAUAUUACCAAUAUAAGAUUUUAUGACAUAUGAAGCUAUAUGAAAUAGUGAUCCGAUCAGGCUGAAGCCAAGAUAUACAAACU